UCAGGACGAACGCUGGCGGCGUGCCUAACACAUGCAAGUCGAACGGGGUUCAUUGGGAGCUUGCUUCUGAUGAACCUAAUGGCGGACGGGUGAGUAACGCGUGAGUAACCUGCCUCUCAAAGGGGGAUAACGAUCUGAAAAGAUCGCUAAUACCGCAUAACAUAUUUGCAUCGCGUGGUGCGAAUAUCAAAGGAGCAAUCCGCUGAGAGAUGGACUCGCGUCCGAUUAGCUAGUUGGAGGGGUAACGGCCCACCAAGGCGACGAUCGGUAGCCGGACUGACAGGUUGAACGGCCACAUUGGGACUGACACACGGCCCACACUCCUACGGGAGGCGGCAGUGCGCGGGAUAUUGCACAAUGGGGGAAACCCUGAUGCAGCAACGCCAGCGUGUGGAUAAGAAGGUUUUCGGAUUGUAAACCACUGUUCUUAGUGAAGAAGAAAGUGACGGUAGCUAAAAAGAAAGCUCCGGCUAACUACGUGCCAGCAGCCGCGGUAAUACGUAAGGAGCGAGCGUUGUCCGGAUUUACUGGGUGUAAAGGGUGCGUAGGCGGCCCUGCAAGUAAGACGUGAAAGCCCCGGGCUCAACCCGGGAACUGCGUUUGAAACUGUGGGGCUUGAGUGAAGUAGAGGUAGGCGGAAUUCCCGGUGUAGCGGUGAAAUGCGUAGAGAUCGGGAGGAACACCAGUGGCGAAGGCGGCUUACUGGGCUUUAACUGUCGGUGAGGCACGUAAGCGUGGGUGGCGAUCAGGAUUAGAUACCCUGGUAGUCCAUGCUGUAAACGAUGAUUACUAGGUGUGGGGGGUCUGACCCCCUCCGUGCCGGAGUUAACACAAUAAGUAAUCCACUUGGGGAGUACGGCCGCAAGGCUGAAACUCAAAGGAAUUGACGGGGGCCCGCACAAGCAGUGGAGUAUGUGGUUUAAUUGGAAGCAACGCGAAGAACCUUAGCAGGUCUUGACAUCCAACUAACGAAGCAGAGAUGCAUAAGGUGCCCUUCGGGGAAAGUUGAGACAGGUGGUGCAUGGUUGUCGUCAGCUGGUGUCGUGAGAUGUUGGGUUAAGUCCCGCAACGAGCGCAACCCUUGUUGUUAGUAACCAGCAGUAAGAUGGGAACACUAAUGAGACUG
RNAcentral lists this ribosomal RNA (1126 nucleotides) under uncultured bacterium. RNAcentral describes it as "bacterial SSU rRNA". It matches the Rfam family "Bacterial small subunit ribosomal RNA", at positions 24 to 1151 of the family's 1533-position model. The record is from RNAcentral.